Scylla paramamosain (green mud crab) is the source of this 2378-nucleotide long non-coding RNA. RefSeq lists it as uncharacterized. The record is from RefSeq and is a predicted model, not a curated record. Lineage: Eukaryota; Metazoa; Arthropoda; Malacostraca; Decapoda; Portunidae. The transcript has 6 exons.
UUGGGAGGCGGGCGGCGGCGGCGGCGGCGGGCAAACACCCAUCCACCCGCCAGGCCGACACCACCGCCGCCACCACACAGCUGCUCACGAUUUUGUCCCUUUGAAUGGAGAAAUCUCGCAGACAGACAGGUUUGAAAGGUCCACCUAAAGCAGAAAUAACUCCAGACGAGUGAAGGAGACGUGACGCAGAUGAUGCGGCCCCCGGCGAUCAGCAGACACAAGUGAGGCAACACUCGGAGCGUUAUCGUGGCUGGACUGGACCUACACGCACAAUUAUUGAUGAGUACGACACUGACACACGCUCCAGGCAUAGAAGAGCCGCCGUGUAUAUUCGUCUGAGGAUGAAGAGAUACAGUUGCAGAGGUGAGGUGGCUGGCCCGUCUGACGUAUGAGCUUCGCGUGAUUACAGGAGAUGAGGAGACCCUGAGUUCAAGGUUAUCAUGCGGACUGGGUUUAGGACUCAUCUCAAAAAUUGACUUCCAGCUUCUAGUGGUCAAAGUGAGUCUUGGACGAGGAUCAUAGGCAGACGAGAUAGGCAGAGACAGAACAGGUUUAUCGUAUUCGGUUUAGGGUCUUCAUGGAUGGGUUCAUGAAUGAAUGUUUUUUUUUCUUUCCUUUCACUUUUUUUCUUCCUGGCAUCAAACUUAAUAUUCCAAGAUUUCAGGAUUAUUACCACAAAGAUUCACACUUCAUAGUCUUAUGGUUUGGUCUGUGUAUACAUUCAUAUAUAUUUUUGUAUAUUGUUUUACAUAUUAUAAUAAUUCCAAGAGUGAUUUUUUUUUUUUUAGAUGACACCGUUAAAUACACUUGAGAGCAGUAAACAAAAUUAUGUUGAUUAUUUCCAUAUUUUACAGUUAAAGCCCUUAUAACAUACAUAUAUUUUUCCUACAAUGCCUAUGGCUUUACACAGAAUGGGCUGCUGAAAAUGUAAUAUUCUUUAAAGCCAGUAUUAAUACAACUAGCAACAAAAUUUGUAGUUCUAAAAAUUAUGAAAACAUUUAGUGUAACUUUUACUUAACUACACACGGACUGGUCUAAAAUAUUCCCAAGAGCACAUCCGGACACCAAGCCACUGACCGUAUAGUCAUUGGAGUAAGUGAGUGUGCUCGUAACAGCCACAAAAAAUGAAUAAAUAAAUAAACAGAUCUGUAAGACUGGCGCGGCGGCGGCGGCUGAGGCCGGCGCCAUCGGCUUCCGCCCGCUGCUCGCCGGCUCGGGCUGGUAUGCUUUAUUUACAGGCACAGCGAGGCCAGUCUUGCAGCAUCUUACUACUGAUCGUCCCUAGGACUUAAAAGGACCUACUGAUCGUGUGUAGGGGCGACGGCCUCGCGGCGCCGGGGACACACGAGGCGACGGACAUGGGGCAGAGAAAUUCCUGCUACAAUCGGUCCCAUGACCCGCCGCCGCCCCGCAGUCCCGUCAUGCCACGGAGUUCCAAAAUGGUGCCCGGCAGCCGCAAGCGACCAGUAUACGACUUCUCCGUUAGGUUGCCUCGUUCCUCGGCGGGCGGGAGGCAUCGGCCCAGCGUGUCCCACCGCCGGUGACGUAACUCACUACGGCCUUUCCUUGCCGAGACUCACAGCAAAAACUUGGUGUAGUGAAGCAAGCAUGAUGGCGAGAUCGACAGCGUCCAGGAGCCUAAUUCAUACAUCAGAGCCCUAAAUGGAGUGAUUUACCGACCACCAAGAUGAAGGUUUACACACUGAAGGGCAGCAUGAAGAGGAUCCGCCCUCACCUCUCCUUACCCUGUCCCACUCACGCCCAUGCUCGCCGCCACUUCAAGCGUCAAGAUGAUAACAUUGCCUAUCAGUUGCUUCACGUCGCCCACAGCAAGGAUCAUGUGGUUCUUAAGUUUCUGAGUCAACAUGAACCUUAAGUCAUACAUCGAUCCACUUCAAAUCAUCCUCAACCAACGGAAGAGCAUUCAUGGAUUUGGAAGUAAGCGAGUGAGAGAGCCGGCGAGACAUCGAUCCGGUAUUAAUGUCACUGCAGGUUGAAGGGGAAAUGCCCAAAAGACUUCCUAAAUGCGGCCGUUCGCGUCGCUCUAUAUCAACAUGGAUGUGCAAUAUUUCUCUACAACUGCAAACUGAGCCUCCACUACCCGAGGGAAGUUAACAUGCCUGGAUGAACCCAACUCUUGCAGGUGGAGCAGCGCCAAUGUUCAACACCUAAGCAUCUGAUUGUUAUGCCGCCUCCCGCCAGCCUGUCCUGCACUCCCCGGCCUCCCCUCCAACCCCAUGCCUGCUUGCCUGAUGAGCCGCCAGUCACGAAACAACGAUCCUUCGCCAAGGAAUAUAUAUUUUCUUCCUUCUUCUUUUCGCUCAUUAAUUCAUUAUUAUAUCAUUUAGGCAAUGUCUUCUGAGGAAAUUAUGGCUAGC